CAGUGAAAUUGAACUCGCUGUGAAGAUGCAGUGUACCCGCGGCAAGACGGAAAGACCCCGUGAACCUUUACUAUAGCUUGACACUGAACAUUGAGCCUUGAUGUGUAGGAUAGGUGGGAGGCUUUGAAGUGUGGACGCCAGUCUGCAUGGAGCCGGCCUUGAAAUACCACCCUUUAAUGUUUGAUGUUCUAACGUGGACCCGUGAUCCGGGUUGCGGACAGUGUCUGGUGGGUAGUUUGACUGGGGCGGUCUCCUCCUAAAGAGUAACGGAGGAGCACGAAGGUUGGCUAAUCCUGGUCGGACAUCAGGAGGUUAGUGCAAUGGCAUAAGCCAGCUUGACUGCGAGCGUGACGGCGCGAGCAGGUGCGAAAGCAGGUCAUAGUGAUCCGGUGGUUCUGAAUGGAAGGGCCAUCGCUCAACGGAUAAAAGGUACUCCGGGGAUAACAGGCUGAUACCGCCCAAGAGUUCAUAUCGACGGCGGUGUUUGGCACCUCGAUGUCGGCUCAUCACAUCCUGGGGCUGAAGUAGGUCCCAAGGGUAUGGCUGUUCGCCAUUUAAAGUGGUACGCGAGCUGGGUUUAGAACGUCGUGAGACAGUUCGGUCCCUAUCUGCCGUGGGCGCUGGAGAACUGAGGGGGGCUGCUCCUAGUACGAGAGGACCGGAGUGGACGCAUCACUGGUGUUCGGGUUGUCAUGCCAAUGGCACUGCCCGGUAGCUAAAUGCGGAAGAGAUAAGUGCUGAAAGCAUCUAAGCACGAAACUUGCCCCGAGA
RNAcentral lists this ribosomal RNA (771 nucleotides) under Salmonella enterica. Its description in RNAcentral is "partial 23S ribosomal RNA". It matches the Rfam family "Bacterial large subunit ribosomal RNA", at positions 2034 to 2804 of the family's 2925-position model. RNAcentral also lists the same sequence under 1 other name. Lineage: Bacteria; Pseudomonadati; Pseudomonadota; Gammaproteobacteria; Enterobacterales; Enterobacteriaceae. The record is from RNAcentral.